AUUGAACGCUGGCGGCGUGCUUAACACAUGCAAGUCGAUCGGUAACAGGUGUAGCAAUACAUGCUGACGAGAGGCGGACGGGUGAGUAAUGCUUGGGAAUCUGCCUAUUAGGUGGGGGACAACCCGGGGAAACUCGGGCUAAUACCGCAUACGCUCUACGGAGGAAAGCCGGGGACCGCAAGGCCUGGCGCUAAUAGAUGAGCCCAAGUCGGAUUAGCUAGUUGGUAGGUAACGGCCUACCAAGGCGACAAUCCGUAGCUGGUCUGAGAGGACGACCAGCCACACCGGAACUGAGACACGGUCCGGACUCCUACGGGAGGCAGCAGUGGGGAAUAUUGGACAAUGGGGGCAACCCUGAUCCAGCGACGCCGCGUGGGUGAAGAAGGCCUGCGGGUUGUAAAGCCCUUUCGGUGGGGAAGAAAAGUCUCGACCUAAUACGUCGGGACCUUGACGUAACCCACUAAAGAAGCACCGGCUAACUCUGUGACAGCCGCCGCCGUAAU
This 503-nucleotide ribosomal RNA is filed under the name uncultured bacterium. Its description in RNAcentral is "bacterial SSU rRNA". It matches the Rfam family "Bacterial small subunit ribosomal RNA", at positions 29 to 524 of the family's 1533-position model. The record is from RNAcentral.